This 80-nucleotide transfer RNA is filed under the name Phanerochaete sordida. RNAcentral describes it as "tRNA-Leu". It matches the Rfam family "tRNA". From Rfam's summary of the family: Transfer RNA (tRNA) molecules are approximately 80 nucleotides in length. Lineage: Eukaryota; Fungi; Basidiomycota; Agaricomycetes; Polyporales; Phanerochaetaceae. The record is from RNAcentral. RNAcentral also lists the same sequence under 1 other name.
GGCGAGAUGGCCGAGCGGUCUAAGGCGCUAGUUUCAGGUACUAGUCAGAAAUGGCGUGGGUUCGAAUCCCACUCUCGUCA